RNAcentral lists this ribosomal RNA (717 nucleotides) under Triticum aestivum (bread wheat). RNAcentral describes it as "partial small subunit ribosomal RNA". Lineage: Eukaryota; Viridiplantae; Streptophyta; Magnoliopsida; Poales; Poaceae. The record is from RNAcentral.
GAAAAAUCCUACCUGGAGGGAAGAGAAGGGAGGAAAGAGAAGGGAGCGGGCGCUCCGUCAGUCACCCGGCUACAACGCCAAAACCAAAGAACAGCCGCCCGCUUGCAGCCUGAGGCGGGCGCCAGAGCUGGCGAUUCCGAUCCGGUGCGCCUCCCGCGCUUCUUCCUCUCCCUGCGCGCCAAUUCUUCCCAUGCCUAGCCCCGAAUCGCUUCCUGCACGCCACAAAUCGAAGCCUCAAAGCCUCCAAAUCACCCAUAAAUCAGCCCAUCCCCAACCCUAGAACCACCGGCGGCGUCAAAUCAAGCAAGCAGGUGGGCGUCGACGCCACAUCUUGUCCAGCCGGCGCCUCAACCCGUCUCACCGGCGACGCCUCGUCUCAUCCCGCCGGCGCCGCAGCCCGUCCUGCGACGGCCUCAUCCCGCUGGCGGCCUCCUCUGCACCGGACAUGUUUGCUCACGAGGCUGCAGCAACGAGUGUAGCAGGUACUUCGGGUCAAGGCCGUUGCUGGGCGCCGCCUGCUACAUCUGCUUGGCUACACGACUGAGAAUAUUGACGACUCCGAUCCGCAAGCAUGGUAUGCAUCUAGGUUAACAUAGUUAAUCAGAAUCUGAUGCUUGUAGCUACACUCGUGUCCCUACUUAUCUCAACGCUGAAAAAUCAGAUGCUUUUGAGGCGUCUUUUCUCUGUACGGUGUGGAACUGCUGUGCUUUGUAUCAU